CCCUUCGGGGUGGAUUAGUGGCGAACGGGUGAGUAACACGUGGGCAAUCUGCCCUUCACUCUGGGACAAGCCCUGGAAACGGGGUCUAAUACCGGAUAACACCGGCUUCCGCAUGGGAGCUGGUUGAAAGCUCCGGCGGUGAAGGAUGAGCCCGCGGCCUAUCAGCUUGUUGGUGGGGUAAUGGCCUACCAAGGCGACGACGGGUAGCCGGCCUGAGAGGGCGACCGGCCACACUGGGACUGAGACACGGCCCAGACUCCUA
RNAcentral lists this ribosomal RNA (262 nucleotides) under Streptomyces scopiformis. Its description in RNAcentral is "partial 16S ribosomal RNA". It matches the Rfam family "Bacterial small subunit ribosomal RNA", at positions 76 to 341 of the family's 1533-position model. The record is from RNAcentral. Lineage: Bacteria; Bacillati; Actinomycetota; Actinomycetes; Kitasatosporales; Streptomycetaceae.